This is a long non-coding RNA of Zonotrichia leucophrys gambelii, 230 nucleotides long. RefSeq lists it as uncharacterized. NCBI's taxonomy places the organism in Eukaryota, Metazoa, Chordata, Aves, Passeriformes, Passerellidae. The transcript has 3 exons. The record is from RefSeq and is a predicted model, not a curated record.
AGAUGAGUUUGCUAGGAAGAUUUCUCCAUUAGAUUGGCUGAAUAAAGUUUUGAAGCCUUUGGAACCUCCUGCAGAUGUGUCUGCAGGGAGGACUUUUCCUGUUCCUUUGCUGGUUCCUUCACCGAAGCCAGGCUCCCAUCGCAGCGGUCCUCUGAGAGGGAAGGACAAAGCCACAGGGCACAAGAAAGCGCAUGAGCCAAAUAACAUGGUGACGGAACUGCACAAAGGGA